Molecule: long non-coding RNA, 793 nt
Filed under: Helianthus annuus (common sunflower)
Lineage: Eukaryota; Viridiplantae; Streptophyta; Magnoliopsida; Asterales; Asteraceae
Description: hypothetical non coding rna
Source: RNAcentral
ACAAAUAUCAAAAUACCACCCUCAAAACUGCUAAUCGAUAUUCUCCAUCUCAAACACCUGCAUCUUAUCUUCUUCAUUGCUCACCUAAUUACGCAAUUCCCUCUCAAACCCCUGCAUCUUAUCUUCUCCAUCUCCUCAAAACUGCUUCCGAUUUCGAGCUUUCACCACACCAACACUGCCAAUCGAUCUUCGAUCUUCUGUGAAUUCGAGCUUCGAUUUCGAGCUUUCACCACACCAACACUACCAAUCGAAAUCGAUCUUCUGAUUUCGAGCUUUCACUACCCCGCCCCCCCUUCGGUUCCCUGUAACCUGACAAAACGGAGCACCUCCGGUCGGUUCACCGGCCACAGCCCCUUCGACUCCCCUUUUUCCGGCUCACGGCGGCGGUCUUUAUCUCCGACCGACAAACUUCACGGAGAAACUUCAAUAUUGCUGUUAUCAAUUCAACGUUUUCAUGGUGAUAUGGUGUUGAAACCAAUAUGAAUCAAAGAGAUUGUAGAUGACUUCUUCUGGUUUUGCCAUUUUGUGGUGGAAUGUUGGACUACGUCUUUGAAACCAGGCUACAGCCAAAACAUGAUUAUUUGGAAUAAAUGAAAUAUAUAUUAUAAUAAAUUUCUUUUAAAAUGAAUAUCGACUUCUAGGAAACAUUGCUUGUGGUACGGAUAGGUUAAAAUGACAAUUUGCCUACGAAUUUUAGACAGUUUUUAGUUUUAUUUUGCUUUUGUAUCCGAUCUCUCGGAUGUUUUAUAAAUAGAAUAAAACUAGAAAAAACAUUAAAUUUCGUGACAAUUGU